CUACGGGGGGCACCAGUGGGGAAUAUUGGACAAUGGGGGAGACCCUGAUCCAGCAAUGCCGCGUGUGUGAAGAAGGCCUGCGGGUUGUAAAGCACUUUCGGUUGGGAGGACUGCUUCUAGCACUAAUAUUGUUGGAAGUUGACGUUACCUUCAGAAGAAGCACCGGCUAACUCCGUGCCAGCAGCCGCGGUAAUACGGAGGGUGCAAGCGUCAAUCGGAACUACUGGGCGUAAAGCGCGCGUAGGCGGCUAGAUCAGUCGGGUGUGAAAGCCCCGGGCUUAACCUGGGAACUGCAUCCGAUACUGUCUAGCUUGAGUACAGGAGAGGAGAGUGGAAUUCCACAUGUAGCGGUGAAAUGCGUAGAUAUGUGGAGGAACACCAAUGGCGAAGGCAGCUCUCUGGCCUGAUACUGACGCUGAGGUGCGAAAGCGUGGGGAGCAAACAGGAUUAGAUACCCUAGUAGUC
This 465-nucleotide ribosomal RNA is filed under the name uncultured bacterium. RNAcentral's name for it is "partial 16S ribosomal RNA". It matches the Rfam family "Bacterial small subunit ribosomal RNA", at positions 339 to 795 of the family's 1533-position model. The record is from RNAcentral.